CUUAUUAAGUGUCUGAGUUGCAUUCAGGUGAUGUGUGUUAGAGUUACACAGGUUCUC
This 57-nucleotide transfer RNA is filed under the name Diplodactylus fulleri (Lake Disappointment ground gecko). RNAcentral's name for it is "partial tRNA-Ala". Lineage: Eukaryota; Metazoa; Chordata; Lepidosauria; Squamata; Diplodactylidae. The record is from RNAcentral.